This is a non-coding RNA of Podarcis lilfordi (Lilford's wall lizard), 74 nucleotides long. Lineage: Eukaryota; Metazoa; Chordata; Lepidosauria; Squamata; Lacertidae. The record is from the annotation of a GenBank genome assembly.
GUAUCUGUAGGUCACUUGGUUAGAGCAUGGUGCUGAUAACGCCAAGGUUGCAGGUUCGAUCCCCAUAUGAGACA